GAGUUUGAUCCUGGCUCAGAAUGAACGCUGGCGGCAGGCCUAACACAUGCAAGUCGAACGGAGUUAUAUUGUAGCUUGCUAUGGUAUAACUUAGUGGCAGACGGGUGAGUAAUGUAUAGGAAUCUACCUAGUAGUACGGAAUAAUUGUUGGAAACGGCAACUAAUACCGUAUACGCCCUACGGGGGAAAAAUUUAUUGCUAUUAGAUGAGCCUAUAUUAGAUUAGUUAGUUGGUGAGGUAAAGGCUUACCAAGACAAUGAUCUAUAGCUGAUCUGAGAGGAUGAUCAGCCACACUGGAACUGAGAUACGGUCCAGACUCCUACGGGAGGCAGCAGUGGGGAAUAUUGGACAAUGGGCGAAAGCCUGAUCCAGCCAUGCCGCAUGAGUGAAGAAGGCCUUCGGGUUGUAAAGCUCUUUUAGUGAGGAAGAUAAUGACGGUACUCACAGAAGAAGUCCUGGCUAACUCCGUGCCAGCAGCCGCGGUAAUACGGAGAGGGCUAGCGUUAUUCGGAAUCAUUGGGCGUAAAGGGCGCGUAGGCGGGUUAGUAAGUUAAAAGUGAAAUCCCAAGGCUCAACCUUGGAACUGCUUUUAAAACUGCUAGUCUAGAGAUUGAAAGAGGAUAGAGGAAUUCCUAGUGUAGAGAUGAAAUUCGUAAAUAUUAGGAGGAACACCAGUGGCGAAC
This 683-nucleotide ribosomal RNA is filed under the name uncultured Hyphomicrobiales bacterium. RNAcentral's name for it is "bacterial SSU rRNA". It matches the Rfam family "Bacterial small subunit ribosomal RNA", at positions 9 to 720 of the family's 1533-position model. Lineage: Bacteria; Pseudomonadati; Pseudomonadota; Alphaproteobacteria; Hyphomicrobiales. The record is from RNAcentral.